Molecule: transfer RNA, 83 nt
Filed under: Candidatus Omnitrophota bacterium
Lineage: Bacteria; Pseudomonadati; Candidatus Omnitrophota
Description: tRNA-Leu
Rfam family: tRNA
About the family: Transfer RNA (tRNA) molecules are approximately 80 nucleotides in length.
Source: RNAcentral
GCCGAAGUGGUGAAAUUGGCAUACACGCAGCGUUCAGGGCGCUGUUCCCUUUGGGAUUGUGGGUUCGACUCCCACCUUCGGCA